AGAGUUUGAUCAUGGCUCAGGAUGAACGCUAGCUACAGGCUUAACACAUGCAAGUCGAGGGGAAACGACAUCGAAAGCUUGCUUUUGAUGGGCGUCGACCGGCGCACGGGUGAGUAACGCGUAUCCAACCUGCCCACCACUUGGGGAUAACCUUGCGAAAGUAAGACUAAUACCCAAUGACGUCUCUAGAAGACAUCUGAAGGAGAUUAAAAGAUUUAUCGGUGAUGGAUGGGGAUGCGUCUGGAUUAGCUUGUUGGCGGGGUAACGGCCACCAAGGCGACGAUCAGUAGGGGUCUGAGAGGAAGGUCCCCCANAUUGGAACUGAGACACGGUCAAACUCCUACGGGAGCA
This 351-nucleotide ribosomal RNA is filed under the name uncultured bacterium. Its description in RNAcentral is "bacterial SSU rRNA". It matches the Rfam family "Bacterial small subunit ribosomal RNA", at positions 8 to 349 of the family's 1533-position model. The record is from RNAcentral.